GACGAACCGUGCGAACGUUGCUCGGAAUUAUUGGGCGUAAAGAGCUCGUAGGCGGUCUGUCGCGUCUGCUGUGAAACUCAGGGCUUAACCCUGAGCUUGCAGUGGGUACGGGCAGACUAGAGUGCGGUAGGGGAGACUGGAAUUCCUGGUGUAGCGGUGAAAUGCGUAGAUAUCAGGAGGAACACCGGUGGGCGAAGGCGGGUCUCUGGGCAGUAACUGACGCUGGAGGAGCGAAAGCGUCGGGGAGCGAACAGG
This 255-nucleotide ribosomal RNA is filed under the name uncultured bacterium. RNAcentral describes it as "partial 16S ribosomal RNA". It matches the Rfam family "Bacterial small subunit ribosomal RNA", at positions 524 to 776 of the family's 1533-position model. The record is from RNAcentral.